UGUUGAUACGGUUUCCGUUACUCUGUACAUAGCAAACCGUAACGGCCACUAGCAAAUGUCUUAUCGCUGGUGCGUAUUACAGGGUGUGUCCUUGCGACAAACACAA
Long non-coding RNA from Haliotis rubra (blacklip abalone), 106 nucleotides. RefSeq lists it as uncharacterized. Lineage: Eukaryota; Metazoa; Mollusca; Gastropoda; Lepetellida; Haliotidae. The record is from RefSeq and is a predicted model, not a curated record. The transcript has 4 exons.